GUAGGCUGCAACUCGCCUACAUGAAGUCGGAAUCGCUAGUAAUCGCGGAUCAGCAUGCCGCGGUGAAUACGUUCCCGGGCCUUGUACACACCACCCGUCACACCAUGAGAGUUUGUAACACCCAAAGCCGGUGGGGUAACCUUUUGGAGCCAGCCGUCUAAGGUGGGACAGAUGAUUGGGGUGAAGUCGUAACAAGGUAUC
RNAcentral lists this ribosomal RNA (201 nucleotides) under uncultured bacterium. Its description in RNAcentral is "partial 16S ribosomal RNA". It matches the Rfam family "Bacterial small subunit ribosomal RNA", at positions 1300 to 1500 of the family's 1533-position model. The record is from RNAcentral.